AAUAUUUGACAAUGGGGGCAACCCUGAUCCAGCCAUGCCGCGUGUGUGAAGAAGGUCUUUGGAUUNUCAAGCACUUUAAGUUGGGANGUAGGGCUUUAGGUUAAUACCCUGAAGUUUUGACGUUACCAACAGAAUAAGCACCGGCUAACUCUGUGCAAGCAGCCGCGGUAAUACAGAGGGUGCAAGCGUUAAUCGGAAUUACUGGGCGUAAAGCGCGCGUAAGUGGGUCAGUAAGAUGGGUGUGAAAUCCCCGGGCUUAACCUGGGAACUGCUUUCAUAACUGCUGAGCUAGGAUACGGUAGAGGGUAGGGGAAUUUCCUGUGUAGCGGUGAAAUGCGUAGAUAUAGGAAGGAACACCAGUGGCGAAGGCGACUACCUGGACUGAUACUGACACUGAGGUGCGAAAGCGUGGGGAGCAAACA
This 422-nucleotide ribosomal RNA is filed under the name uncultured bacterium. RNAcentral's name for it is "partial 16S ribosomal RNA". It matches the Rfam family "Bacterial small subunit ribosomal RNA", at positions 360 to 774 of the family's 1533-position model. The record is from RNAcentral.